UACGUAGGCAGGAAGCGUUGUUCGGAAUUACUGGGCGUAAAAGGUGCGUAGGCGGUUGGCUAAGUUUGGUGUGGAAUCUCCCGGCUUAACUGGGAGGGUGCGCCGAAAACUGGCUGGCUAGAGUGUGGGAGAGGGAAGUGGAAUUCCUGGUGUAGCGGUGAAAUGCGUAGAUAACAGGAGGAACACCUGAGGUGUAGACGGCUUCCUGGACCAUUACUGACGCUGAGGCACGAAAGCGUGGGGAGCAAACAGG
Molecule: ribosomal RNA, 253 nt
Filed under: uncultured bacterium
Lineage: Bacteria
Description: partial 16S ribosomal RNA
Rfam family: Bacterial small subunit ribosomal RNA
Source: RNAcentral